RNAcentral lists this ribosomal RNA (892 nucleotides) under uncultured bacterium. RNAcentral describes it as "bacterial SSU rRNA". It matches the Rfam family "Bacterial small subunit ribosomal RNA", at positions 8 to 890 of the family's 1533-position model. The record is from RNAcentral.
AGAGUUUGAUCCUGGCUCAGAUUGAACGCUGGCGGAAUGCUUUACACAUGCAAGUCGAACGGCAGCACGGAGAGCUUGCUCUCUGGUGGCGAGUGGCGAACGGGUGAGUAAUAUAUCGGAACGUGUCCAAUAAUGGGGGAUAACGAGUCGAAAGAUUCGCUAAUACCGCAUACGCCCUACGGGGGAAAGCAGGGGAUCGUAAGACCUUGCGUUAAUGGAGCGGCCGAUAUCUGAUUAGCUUGUUGGUGAGGUAAAGGCUCACCAAGGCGACGAUCAGUAGCUGGUUUGAGAGAACGACCAGCCACACUGGAACUGAGACACGGUCCAGACUCCUACGGGAGGCAGCAGUGGGGAAUUUUGGACAAUGGGGGCAACCCUGAUCCAGCCAUUCCGCGUGAGUGAAGAAGGCCUUCGGGUUGUAAAGCUCUUUCGCAAGGGAAGAAAACUUAUGAUCGAGUAAAUCAUGAGGUUGACGGUACCUUGAUAAGAAGCACCGGCUAACUACGUGCCAGCAGCCGCGGUAAUACGUAGGGUGCGAGCGUUAAUCGGAAUUACUGGGCGUAAAGCGUGCGCAGGCGGUUUUGUAAGUCGGAUGUGAAAUCCCCGGGCUCAACCUGGGAACUGCGUUCGAAACUGCAAGGCUAGAGUGUGUCAGAGGGGGGUAGAAUUCCACGUGUAGCAGUGAAAUGCGUAGAGAUGUGGAGGAAUACCAAUGGCGAAAGCAGCCCCCUGGGAUAACACUGACGCUCAUGCACGAAAGCGUGGGGAGCAAACAGGAUUAGAUACCCUGGUAGUCCACGCCCUAAACGAUGUCAACUAGUUGUUGGUAGAGUAAAAUCUAUGAGUAACGUAGCUAACGCGUGAAGUUGACCGCCUGGGGAGUACGGUCGCA